AUUGAACGCUGGCGGCAGGCUUAACACAUGCAAGUCGAGCGGGGGAAGGUAGCUUGCUACCGGACCUAGCGGCGGACGGGUGAGUAAUGCUUAGGAAUCUGCCUAUUAGUGGGGGACAACAUCUCGAGAGGGAUGCUAAUACCGCAUACGUCCUACGAGAGAAAGCAGGGGAUCUUCGGACCUUGCGCUAAUAGAUGAGCCUAAGUCGGAUUAGCUAGUUGGUGGGGUAAAGGCCUACCAAGGCGACGAUCUGUAGCGGGUCUGAGAGGAUGAUCCGCCACACUGGGACUGAGACACGGCCCAGACUCCUACGGGAGGCAGCAGUGGGGAAUAUUGGACAAUGGGGGGAACCCUGAUCCAGCCAUGCCGCGUGUGUGAAGAAGGCCUUAUGGUUGUAAAGCACUUUAAGCGAGGAGGAGGCUACUUUAGUUAAUACCUAGAGAUAGUGGACGUUACUCGCAGAAUAAGCACCGGCUAACUCUGUGCCAGCCGCCGCCGUAA
Molecule: ribosomal RNA, 501 nt
Filed under: uncultured bacterium
Lineage: Bacteria
Description: partial 16S ribosomal RNA
Rfam family: Bacterial small subunit ribosomal RNA
Source: RNAcentral